This 464-nucleotide ribosomal RNA is filed under the name uncultured bacterium. Its description in RNAcentral is "partial 16S ribosomal RNA". It matches the Rfam family "Bacterial small subunit ribosomal RNA", at positions 28 to 507 of the family's 1533-position model. The record is from RNAcentral.
GACGAACGCUGGCGGCGUGCUUAACACAUGCAAGUCGAACGGAAAGGCCCUGCUUGCAGGGUACUCGAGUGGCGAACGGGUGAGUAACACGUGGGUGAUCUGCCCUGCACUUCGGGAUAAGCCUGGGAAACUGGGUCUAAUACCGGAUAGGAGCCAUUUUUAGUGUGAUGGUUGGAAAGUUUUUUCGGUGUAGGAUGAGCUCGCGGCCUAUCAGCUUGUUGGUGGGGUAAUGGCCUACCAAGGCGGCGAGGGGUAGCCGGCCUGCGAGGGUGGCCGGCCACAGUGGGGCGGAGAUACGGGCCAGACUGCUACGGGAGGAAGCAGGGGGGAAGAUGGCACCAGGGGCGGAAGCGUGAUGCAGCAACGCCGCGGGAGGGAUGACGGCCGUGGGGUUGUAAAACGCUUACGACUGUGACGAAGCGUGAGGGACGGUAAUGGGUAAAGAAGAACCGGCUAACUACGUG